Molecule: ribosomal RNA, 730 nt
Filed under: uncultured bacterium
Lineage: Bacteria
Description: bacterial SSU rRNA
Rfam family: Bacterial small subunit ribosomal RNA
Source: RNAcentral
AGCGGCGGACGGGUGAGGAAUGUAUCGGAACGUGCCCAGUCAUGGGGGAUAACACAGGGAAACUUGUGCUAAUACCGCAUACGCCCUGAGGGGGAAAGUGGGGGACCGCAAGGCCUCACGUGAUUGGAGCGGCCGAUACCCGAUUAGCUAGUUGGUGAGGUAAAGGCUCACCAAGGCUACGAUCGGUAGCUGGUCUUAGAGGACGAUCAGCCACACUGGAACUGAGACACGGUCCAGACUCCUACGGGAGGCAGCAGUGGGGAAUAUUGGACAAUGGGGGCAACCCUGAUCCAGCCAUGCCGCGUGAGUGAAGAAGGCCUUCGGGUUGUAAAGCUCUUUGAGCGGGGAGGAAGGUUCGUUGAUUAAUAAUCAGCGGAAUUGACGUUACCUGCAGAACAAGCACCGGCUAACUCUGUGCCAGCAGCCGCGGUAAUACAGAGGGUGCGAGCGUUAAUCGGAAUUACUGGGCGUAAAGCGUGCGUAGGCGGUUUGAUAAGCUGGAUGUGAAAUCCCCGGGCUUAACCUGGGAACUGCAUUCAGGACUGUUUGACUAGAGUCUGGGAGAGGGUGGUGGAAUUUCCUGUGUAGCGGUGAAAUGCGUAGAUAUAGGAAGGAACAUCAGUGGCGAAGGCGACUGCCUGGCCCAAGACUGACGCUGAGGCACGAAAGCGUGGGUAGCAAACAGGAUUAGAUACCCUGGUAGUCCACGCCGUANACGAUGUCAACUAGC